RNAcentral lists this ribosomal RNA (431 nucleotides) under uncultured Desulfobulbus sp. Its description in RNAcentral is "bacterial SSU rRNA". It matches the Rfam family "Bacterial small subunit ribosomal RNA", at positions 956 to 1382 of the family's 1533-position model. Lineage: Bacteria; Pseudomonadati; Thermodesulfobacteriota; Desulfobulbia; Desulfobulbales; Desulfobulbaceae. The record is from RNAcentral.
GCAACGCGAAGAACUUACCUGGUCUUGACAUCCCGGAGACCCUUAGGAAACUAGGGGGUGCUUCCAUCUGGAAGAAUCUGGAGACAGGUGCUGCAUGGCUGUCGUCAGCUCGUGUCGUGAGAUGUUGGGUUAAGUCCCGCAACGAGCGCAACCCUUGCCUUUAGUUGCCAGCAGUUCGGCUGGGCACUCUAAAGGGACUGCCGGUGUUAAACCGGAGGAAGGUGGGGAUGACGUCAAGUCCUCAUGGCCUUUAUGACCAGGGCUACACACGUACUACAAUGGCCGAUACAAAGGGCAGCGACACUGCGAGGUGAAGCCAAUCCCGUAAAAUCGGUCUCAGUCCGGAUUGGAGUCUGCAACUCGACUCCAUGAAGUUGGAAUCGCUAGUAAUCGUGGAUCAGCAUGCCACGGUGAAUACGUUCCCGGGCCUU